This 196-nucleotide long non-coding RNA is filed under the name Sus scrofa (pig). RNAcentral's name for it is "lncRNA (ENSSSCG00050037704.1)". Lineage: Eukaryota; Metazoa; Chordata; Mammalia; Artiodactyla; Suidae. The record is from RNAcentral.
GGCCUCUUGGGAGGAGAAACAGGCCAUCCCUUCUGCAGCGGCUCCUGUCGGCUCCCUGGCUGCCUGGGUGGAGACAGCUGAGCCUCUGCCCCGACAGGCUUCAACAAUCCGGGGCAAUAAUAAGAAAAUAUCCAGGGCACACCUUCGUCUCUCGAGGUGAGAAAUGACCGUCUCCAUCAAUCGUCGCUUUUCCUGG